GGGCGUUCGCCCCCCGGAAGGCAGCAGGGGCGGUUGAGAAGUGAAGUCUUGGCCGGAGUUUGCUUCUUGCCAGGAAAUUGGUGGCUGUGGCGGCAGCGAGCCCCGGCAGAGCGGCUCCCGGCUCGUCCUUCAGCGGGCCACAGAAGGCGGGAGCUGGCGCUGGGCUGCGGCGCCGGGAGCCCGUGCUCGCCCCGGGCGGCCGCGCUUUCCCAAAAAAGGGACCUUGGCUGUCGUCAGCUACAUCUCCGUCUAUUAAAGGGAACCAAACCUCCGACCUAUGAGGAUACAGAGACCGUGUGGGUGUGAGCCAGCAUGGGAACGACCAGCGAGGAGAUGUCUGUGGAGCAGACCUCCUCUUCCUCUUCCCUGAACCCCCUGUGCUUUGAGUGUGGCCAGCAGCACUGGACCAGAGAAAACCACUUGUACAAUUACCAGGAUGAGGUGGACGAUGACCUUGUUUGCCACAUCUGCCUCCAGCCCUUGCUGCAGCCGCUGGACACCCCCUGUGGACACACAUUCUGCUACAAGUGCCUCCGGAACUUCUUACAGGAGAAAGACUUUUGUCCAUUGGACCGGAAAAGACUUCACUUCAAGUUGUGUAAGAAGUCCAGCAUUCUAGUUCAUAAACUUCUAGACAAAUUAUUAGUUUUAUGUCCAUUUUCUUCAGUGUGCCAAGAUGUGAUGCAACGCUGUGAUUUGGAGGCACAUCUUAAAAACAGAUGUCCUGGAGCUUCUCAUCGGAGAGUUGCCCUAGAGAAAAGAAAAACUAGUAAAACUCAGACGGAGAUUGAAAGUGAAAGUGGAUCCAGUGUGAUAGAUCCUCCAGGUACUUUGUCCCCAGAAACAGACUGCUUAGGGCUGGGGACAGGCACAGUGCCCAACGAGCGGAGCUCAGCGUUAGUGUGUCUUCCCAUCUGUCCGGAGGAGCCUGGCCUGGACAACCCUGCCUUCGAGGAGAGCGCUGGAGCCGACACUACGCAACAGCCUCUUAGUUUACCAGAAGGAGAAAUUACCACCAUUGAAAUCCACAGAUCUAAUCCAUACAUUCAGUUAGGAAUUAGCAUCGUGGGUGGCAAUGAGACACCACUCAUUAACAUUGUCAUCCAGGAGGUCUACAGAGAUGGGAUCAUCGCCAGAGAUGGGAGACUGCUUGCUGGAGACCAGAUUCUUCAGGUCAACAACUAUGACAUCAGCAAUGUGUCUCAUAACUAUGCCCGAGCUGUGCUUUCCCAGCCGUGCACCACACUGCACCUCACUGUGCUGCGGGAGCGGCGCUUUGGCAGCCGGGCACAUGCCCAUUCCGACGGCAGCUCUGCCCGGGAGGAGGUCUUCCACGUGGUUCUUCAUAAACGGGACUCUGGUGAACAGCUUGGCAUUAAGUUGGUUCGAAGGACAGAUGAGCCCGGUGUGUUUAUCCUGGACCUGCUGGAAGGGGGCCUGGCAGCCCAGGACGGCAGGCUGUGCAGCAAUGAUCGGGUGCUGGCCAUCAACGGGCAUGACCUGAAGCACGGGACACCGGAGCUGGCCGCCCAGAUCAUCCAGGCCAGCGGGGAGAGAGUGAGUUUAACAAUCGCUAGACCGGGGAGACCCCAGCCGAGUGGCACCAUCCGGGAGGCAGGAACUCACAGCAGCAGCCAGCACCAUGCCCAGCCCCUGUCUCAGAACAGACCGAGCUCUCAUAAGGAUCUUACUCAGUGUGUUACAUGCCAAGAAAAACACAUUACUGUGAAGAAGGAGCCGCAUGAGUCCCUCGGGAUGACAGUGGCUGGAGGCAGAGGAAGUAAGAGUGGUGAACUGCCCAUCUUUGUGACCAGCGUGCCCCCUCACGGCUGCCUCGCACGAGAUGGCAGAAUUAAGAGAGGUGAUGUGCUGCUGAACAUCAACGGCAUCGACCUGACCAACCUGAGUCACAGCGAGGCUGUCGCUAUGCUGAAGGCCAGUGCCGCCUCCUCGGCUGUUGCCCUCAAGGCGCUAGAGGUCCAGAUUGUCGAGGAGGCCACUCAGACCUCGGAGGAGUUGCCAAGUACUUUCAGUGAGAAUGAGUACGACGCGAGUUGGUCCCCAUCAUGGGUUAUGUGGCUUGGGCUUCCAAGUGCCCUUCACAGCUGCCAUGACAUAGUUCUACGAAGAAGCCACCUGGGAAGCUGGGGCUUCAGCAUUGUUGGUGGAUACGAAGAGAACCACACCAAUCAGCCUUUCUUCAUUAAAACCAUUGUCCUGGGAACUCCUGCUUACUACGACGGGAGGUUAAACAAAGGAACUUCCUCAGAGGCUUCGCCUCAAGUCUUGUGCUGGUUCUGCAGUUAUUCUCUUGGCCGCAACCUUCAAAUGAACUUCAGGAUCCAGGGAUGUAUCUGGCCCACAGCAGGUGAUUGUCUCUUCCAAGGCUGCAAGGUAUCUGAACUUCUGCUCUGGCUCCCAGCCCUGUCUGCCUGCCUGUAAUAUUUCUAACUCGAUCAGCUGCCUGUAAUGUGGAGCCCCUGACAGGAGUCUGCAGUCCACUUGAGGAUUUACAGCCUGCCUUUGCUUUUGUCUGCCUGUUGCACCUCUGCCUCCCUAUUUGCCACCACCUGAUGUUUAGGCAGCCGAGGAAAAACAACUAAUAAUUCCCAUGGGCAGACGCUGCAGAUGAAGCAGCCCCUCGUGGAAAGGUGCUGCCUCGCGAAUUUCUGACCUGCCUCAGCCCUUAAUUUGUGUACUGCUGCUUCAUGAUAAAAACAGUGUCCAGUGAACUAUUAUUUUCACACGCUUAAAGAUGAGACUUCCUGCUUCUAAGAAGUAAAUGCAGGAGAGGGAGUCUUAGAAAUGCCAGUACCACAGGAUGUGGAGGCGCAGGACUGAUCACUGUGAGUUCAAGGCCAGACUGGACUACGUAGUGAGACCUUAUCUCAAAAGGACAAAAAAAAAGUCCAGUACAUUUGACAAGAAUGUCCACACCCAGCUGUGCACACAAGCCAGCCUUUCUGGUAAAGAAAAGUCAGUGCCUCCUGUGAGCCUACUGGCACUGGCUGAGAACCAACCCCCACCCUCCAGCAACCGAUGUUUCAGAGGACAGGCUGAGCUGAUAGCAACUGAGGUCCUGUGGAUGUUCUUAAAGGCGGAUGUGGAAACCUGGACAGUGUCCAAGGGGAGAUCUGCAAGGCUCGUCCUUAGGCAAGACUGCAAAACAGCGCACUUUUGACCUGGAACGACUUGGAUCACAUACUCAGUGGGAGCAGCCUCUCCAGUCACAGAGUAAAAGGAAACACCAGCUACAAUGGGGUGAGGAUUGUGAUAUGCUUUGUAAACUAGAAGAAUGCGUCCAGGUAUGAUGGAUUAUUUUACGCUCCUACACGGUUCUCUGUUCCUGUUCCUUGUGUAAUGCAUAACUCUAGUCAUCAGCAAGCCAGCGCAGAGCCCUGGCAAGCACCCGCUCCUCUAGCAGCCUCCUGCCUCUGCAGCUGCUAAGCUUGUGCUGCUGACCAUGGCCGAGGACUGCCGCACUGGCAGAGCUCCACUCUAAGGCAGCCUUCUGAUGCCUGCCAGGGAGUUGGAGACGAAGGUCCUGGCACACACCAAACUGACAUCCUAGAGCUGUUAACCGGUGAGUGUCGUGACCCCAGCCCAGCAAGAGCCCAGCAUAGAAGCAAGAGGCUCAGGCCAGCUUGCUCUGGAGAAGGAGAAGAGAUUGUUGUUUUACCUCUAGGCGAAAUUCAAGCCCCUGUUGACUGGUUCUCUGCCAAUAGUGAGAAUUCCAUUUCCAGUAGCCCUGAGUUAGUCCAGCUGGGGAUUACUAGGAAUAUGAAAACCACAAGAAUGAAAACGGAAAGCAGGCAGAUGGCACUGCAGGGGCGGAGAGGUUUGGGCACAAAGCUUUGGGAAAAGUAAGCUAAACAGAAGACAGAGCUGAGCUGUGAACUGUGCUCCAUGAUGAAGGGAGGACCUGCACGAUGAGGGCUACUGUGUUGCCAGCCUGCAGGGAGAUGGCUGAUUAGAGCCUUUCUUAGAAGCUUUCUGGAACCGUUGGCAGACUGAACCACCAAUCCUAAAAUCAAGAGAGAGCAGGCAUUUGUGCUGGGCAUCAGAGACAGGGAAAACACUGCCUUUCCCACCCACAUCCUGCCUCAGGGUAGGAUGGAUAUACAAAGAUCUGGCGGGAACUUGGGAAAGAAGAUUCCAGAAAUUUGUCCUUAGGUAAUCUCUGAUUCAUAUCGGGUCAGUGGAAAACAUAGAUACCAGGCCACCACUUUUUCUGCAAGUUCAUUCAAAUAGGAACACUAAAAGACAGCUUUACAAACCUUGACUCCACAGCUAAUAAUGGAGUAAGAGGGAAAAAGACCAACAAAUAAAUAAGAACGUAUAUUAGAAUUCAUUCACCAGCUUUCCCCAUUUACUUUCAGGGAACAGCAUCCUGAAAAAGCUGCACAUCGGAAAUCAUCAUCCACACUGAUUUUCACAGGAUAAUUUUGGCAUCUGGGAGAUGAUGGGGUUGGAUAAGGUCUCCACAGGGCACUGGGCUGUCCUGGUGCCCUCUGACUCUGGAUGGGAGGUGUCUUACACACAGCGCCUCCCGGGCUUAUUUAUGACAAAGUGGUCCCACAGAUCAGAGGCUCCUGGGAGAACAGAUGUUGUGGUGGCAUCCCGGUAUAUGAUGAGCAGCUGGCCUGCCGGUCAGAGCAUCCUAAUUCUUUUUCUCACUCAUUUUACUCUGCUAAAACUUUAAAGAAUAGACUGGAAGGGAGCCUGUAGGUUCAGGGCUCUGUAAUCCUUUGUUUCUUGGCCCUGCUGGUGGCUUCAUAGCUGUAUUCACUUUGUGAUGGACAUUUAUGACCUAUAUUUAUAUUUAUACAUGCUAUAUCUCAAUAAGUUGUUCACUUUUUUAUGUUUUGUUUUGCUUGUUUGUUUUGUUCUGUGUCUUAGCAGUAAUGGGGAUUGAAUUCCAGACCCUACAAUGCUGAGUAAGUGCUCGACCACUGAGCUAUCUGUAUUUCCAGCCCGAUUGUCUGCAUUUAUAAUGUCAUAAAAUAUCAUACUCCUUAAUUGUCUUUCAGGUUUUAAAACUUAAAAUACAUCUGAGAAUUUAUAUAGAGGGGUGAUCCAACCAAAAGUCCUGGGGCUCCCUGUGUCACAGGGCUCGAUGGCCUUGCCUGGGAGCAGUAGCAGCAGCAGCUUCCUUCUGACUGUGUGAUGCUCUCUCUCCUGGUGGAGGAGACCCCCACACUCAGGGAAUCAAGACAGAUGCUGGCAUAUUCCUCUGCAUCCUGUGUCUGCUCCUCGGCCAGAGCAUCAGGCCUGACCGCCCUGUGGUAGAAUGCAGCACAUCUAAACCAUAUUCUGCCACUUCUGAGCUCCCUGGACAGCCCAUUAUGUCAGAGAGGCUCAGAGGACCCAUUCAGAGAUCAGCAACUUCCUGGAGAAGUCACCUGAAGUGUUUGGCCACCUCUUACUUCUUGUAGCACCAAAUUUAAAAGAGAAAUUUCUUUCUAGCCCAGCAUGGUGACACUUGGCUGUUAUCCCAGCACCGUGGUAGGCUGAGGCAGGAGGGCUGGAAAUUCAAGCCAAACCUAGGGGUCAACUCAGCACCUUCGUGAGACCCUGUUUCAAAUUUUUAAAAGGGAUGGGGACAGAGCCCUGUGAAAAGGCCCUGCUUUCAAUCUCCGAUGCUGAAGAAGAUUUUUUUUUAGUUUUCUUUAUUGUGUAGAUUAAUUUCAUAUCAUAUUUAAAGAAAUUAUAAAAAUAAAAAUAGUGCACAUGGGGAGGAACGGUACUUUCCUAGGGAGGCAAGUCGGGGGGGACGAGUUGCCAGGUGACAUGUGGCUGUCAGCAUGGGGCUGCUGACCCUCCCCCCCCCCCAGGCUUCGGGAACAGGGCUGAGUGUUGGCAUUCUUCAUUAACCUCCAUCUCACAGUCUCAACCAGUGAUAAAGUCUGUGACUCAAGGCGCCGUCACAGCCAACCCGCUCUUAUUUUUGCAGACUCAGAGCUGAGUUUCUUUACUUUCCACAUGUAUUUAUCUACAUCCUCACUGGCCACAUGGAUUUCCACACCAUGUGGGCCUUGUUCCCUGGGCUUUCGCCUUGAGGACAUGGAGGCUGCCCAGAAUAAUAAAGGAGACACUGAUCCCAGAGCUGGAGCAGAAUGGAUUUAGCUCAAGGUGCCCAAUAGUCCUUCCCGGAGGAAGCAGAGCUGCUUAGAAACAGGAAGUCAGCUGUGAAAAUGACCUUGCUGCCCCUUUCUACAACUAGGAAAGAGCAGGAUGCCCCCUGCCUCGUGGGGAGGCGCUGGGGAGUGGGAUGGUGCAGGGGUAGAGUCAUUUGCUCCCAGCACUGCCUUGGGGAGACCCGGCCCCCAGGACAGGCCCUGAGCCAGGUGCUCACAGUUGUGGAUAGGGCCUGAGUUCCAGGCCACCUCCACCUGUAAGGUGCGGCUCCUUCCCUCCGAGUACUGGUGCAUCCUCCCUCCUGGGCAGUUUACUCAGGACACGUGUGCUGAUAAUCCUGCAGUAUUGGUUAGGUCCCUGCUGUACUUUGCUGAGGACACCAUGGUGAGCAAGAGGAGACUUUCUCCCUGGAGCCAACAGGAGCCCAGGAGCUGCACACGCAUAAGGAGCCUCAGCAGGAGACUAAUUCCAGUCCACAGUCUACAAGACGCUUCUUUGAGAAAAACACAAGACAGGUGGUGGGGGCCAUCUCAGAUGGAAGGAAGGGGCACACACUGUCUGGAGAGAGAGGGCCUGGGUACAUUCCCAGAAGCUCAGUUUGUCGGGUUUCUUUGGUGAGUUUUGUUUUAUUUUAGAGAUGGUCUUACUAUGUAGCCCUGGCUGAACUUACAGUGAUCCUCCUGCCUCAGCCUCCUAACGUGCUAGGACUUUUAUAUAUGACAGAUGAAUUUCUUCAUUUCCAAAACAUGUAUAUCUUAUUUUUCUUUUCUUACUGCUCUAGACCUUGCAUAUAGUGUUGACUAAAACAUUUUGGAUUUUCUUAAAUAUCGAUCUUUUUUUUAAAGAGGCAGGGCAGAAUAUAUUUAUUAGGGAAAGAAAACUUCUGUCUGAGAGAGACAGAUGGAGUUCCUAGUGGGUCACCCCAAAAUCCAUCAUUUUAAUGAUGAUACAUCAGAUGCAUUUCCCUAAAAAAUCAAGAAUAAGACAAGAAUGCUUGAUAUUAGGGCUUUGGCUCUCACUGGGCUGGUCAUAUAUCGUUGCCUGCCCUAACCAUGGUGCUUGCUGCAGGAAAGGGCAUGUGACCAGAGGUGGCCCAUCUGUCGUGUUCCAUAAGAUCUGUCAAGCUGGAUCUAAAGAGAAUACUCUGCUCUCCUCUGUUUGGAAAACUGUAAGAAUUUAUCCAGAAACACCAAUUCCAUAUCCUCUGAAGAACGUCUGCUUCCAGAAAUAGCUUCCUUUGUUUCCAUCAACCUCAAUUUUCUCCCCAGGGAAAUUAGAGUCAUUUUACCUCAUGGCUUGCUACGAAUAUUAAAUAACAUCAUGGUUAGAAUGGUUAACACAAAGACACUACUACCUGCUAAUUUUGCUAGCAUUGUGUUUUGAAGUGUUAGCAUUAUGCCAUGAACAUUGCUAAUGUUGUGAACAAGAUUAUUCUACAUUUUCAGUCUUGUAUUCUCCUUUCUCUCGCAUAGUAUCAUCAUCAUCAUCAUCACACACACACACACAGAGAAAAUUGUAAAAGAUAUAGUCAUCCUGCUGACUGUUUAAUUUUUUUAGUCCACGUUUGCAAUACACAGUCAUUAGGUCCUUGUGGGGAGCUGGAACAUUAAAAUAACACAUCUUAAUUCUUUUUACUUCCCCGUCCCCUCUUCUCCUUCCCCUCUCCAUCUCUUGGCUUCUGACUUAGUAACUUAGGGAAGCGGCAAAUAUGAUUCUCUUUAUUACAUAUCGGGAGAUAAGAAAUGUGUAUAAUUAAGUUUUUGUUAGUGGUUUUGAGCACUACAAUUUGUAGAUGCAUGACAUGAUUUAUUGUGCUGAUUACUUCCACUGCUAAGGAUCUGCUUUCAGGGAGCCAACUCCAGUUUAUAUAUAUAUUUCAAUUAUUAUUCUUUUUAAUGCAAGUGAAAUAAAAUUUACCUUCCUACCUAUUGCAAGAAAGUUUUUCUUUUUAAAUACGCAGUCGGCAGUAUUAAGUGCAGCACAAAUGACUGCGCAGCCCUCGUUACGAUUGAUCUCCAGAACCUUUUCAUCUUGCAAAACUAAAGCUCCAUGCCCAUGAAAAAUUAAUUCUCCAUGUCUCCUCCUUCCAGCCCCUUACAACCAGUGUUGCACCUUCCUUCUCUAUGAACUCAACUACUCAACCUGCUUCACUGCUGUAGUUUGGAUCUUAAGUGUUCCCAAAAGUGCAUGCAGUAAAACGUUGGUCCCCAGCCUAGGAGAGUUUGGUGGUGGAAACACAAGAGGCGAGGCCCAGCGGGACGUCUUUAGGUGGCUGUGGGCCACAAAGCACUGUGGGGUCUCCAUCUCUUUCUCUUUUUCCCUUCCUGGUCCUGAGGCAAGUGGCUGGCUCCACCCUGUGUUCCCACCAUGAUGUGCCAUCUUAGGCCUAAAACCACCCUGGGCCAAUUACCCAUGGACUGGACUCCCCCAAACUAUAAGCCAAAGUAAACCUUUCUGCUUUAUAAGUUGAUGGUCUCAGAUAUUUGCUAUGUGUUGGGAGGCUGACUUACUCAUGUAAGUGAAAGCAUGUAAUACCUGUUUUUCUGUGACUGCCUUCUUUCUUAGCACAAUGCCCUUAAACUUCACCCACAAUGUCAGAUUUCUCUCCCUUUCCAAGGCCAAAUAACGUGCCAUGCUCCACUCUUUGUUUACUCUCCAUCCUUGUCCAUAUGAUUCAUUAGACAGCAGUUCUAUACCUCCAGCACAAGCCCUUCCAGCUACUAAUACACAAGUCUGCUUGGUUGGAGGCCUGGGAUACAGGAAAACCCUUUAUUUACAGCCUGGCCUGUUUACACAUAGCAAGUAUCUGAGACCUUCAACUUAUAAAGUGGAAAGGUUUACUUUGGCUUAUAGUUUGGGGGGAGUCCAGUCCAUGAGUAAUUGGCCCAGGGUGGUUUUAUGCCUAAGAUGGCACAUCAUGGUGGGAACAUAGGGUGGAGCCAGCCACUUGCCUCAGGACCAGGAAGGGAAAAAGAGAAAGAGAUGGAGACCCCACAGUGCUUUGUGGUCCACAGCCACCUAAAGACUUCCCACUGGGCCUCGCCUCUCGUGUUUCCACCUCCAGCCCAUGGGGUCUGCUGUGCCCCUCAACAAACAGGACACUACUGAAGACAAUCAGUGGAUUCCCAAAGAGAUGUGGGCACGUGACCAUAUGCUUGCCUAAUACACAGGGAUAAACAGAAAACAGUGAAUAAAGAAAUGAUAUUCACAAGUGUUUUAAAACCAGAACGCUAAUUUAAAAAUCUAUCCAAAGGUGGCCUUGGAGAGGGGAAGGACACAGUUGUGUAAUCCUAUGUCCACAGUGCUCAUCACAGCCUGUCCCUAAACCAUGUCUCAAUGCCCCAGGCCUGAGCACAAAAGGGCAGAGCAGACAUUUCCCACCUCAGAAAAUCCCAUCCAGUCUGGUGCUUUGGUGCUUGGGGAACUUGAUGUUUGUGAGAAUUAGUCAGCAAAGGGACUUGGUCCCUGGUGUCAUGGUCCCUAAGUCACCCAGCGCUGGCCAUUGAGGAGGAAGGGCCUCCUGGGGAGAUUCCUUCCCCUCAGUGCUAUCUCUUGCAACCCCAGCCAGAUGUUCACAGAUGGGUUUCUAACCACGGGGAUGGAGUUUUCUAAUGGAAAUCCCGGCAGCCCUUUACUUAGAGUAGCUCUGGUGGGCACUACUCUAAUUAUUCAAUUGCCUAAUUCCAUUUAUCUUUCAUGAUCCAUUAUGCUCCCCUCACAAGCUGCAUCUUCCUUAGCGGAUACAUAACCGAGUCUAAUGGACUCUGGGUGAAGCCAGCUAUGUAGACUAAAGGAUUUAGCUGCUACCUAAUUCUACUAAACUGUUAUUUUAUAAAUGAACAAGGCAGACAGACACAUUUUAUGCUUUAAGAUAAAUAUUUUAUGAAUUGGCCCUCUGAUACAUUACCUUGUUAGUACAUUACCGUUCAUCCCUCCUCAGGCUUGAAGAGCCUGGGCCGACACUCAGGAGUACAUUUGGGGGAUUUUAUUGAAUGAGAUGCUUUUAAAGUCUGUUUGUAUCUAUGGAAAAAAAGAAGUAAUUUCAUCACAUGAAAAGGAAAAGUUCUUUAAAUGUUGAUUUUCUAUUCCAGUGUGAAAGUCAUUAUCCAGGGAUUUUUUUUUUUUUUUAUUUAACCAAGGGUCCAGAUCCUACUUACAAAAAAUCAGUGUAUCUUCCUCUCUGUGCACUCAGGAAACACAACACUAGGAAGAGUUUGAAGCAUUCUAGAAGGGAAACCUUUACUCAUCUAAAGAACAAAGCAUCGUAGAAAGUCAGUCUUUCUUUUGACUUUUAAAGGAGACACAGUUUAUAAUACAAUAGCCUAUUUCUCCUUCAAUAUGCUUGCAUUUUUAAAAAAUUUUUCCCCUAGGGUGUUUUAACCUGUGGUGUUAGAGGAGAAGGAUUCAGUCUAAGAAUUAGUUCUGGAAGCACUGAGCUAUCAACAUCAUUCUGCCUAAAUUGUAAACAGAUGAAAAUUGUGUGUGUGUCUGUCUGUCUGUCUAGUAUUGGGGACCUGAAGCCAAGGCCUUUACUCAGAGCUGUAUCCCUAAGUUACCCAAGAUGGGCUCCAACUUGCCAUCUUCCUGCUUCAGCCUCCCAGAAUGCUGGGCUUAUAGAGGUGUGCCGUAUCCCUCUCAGUUUCUUUCUUUGGUUUCCUGAGACCACGUCUUGCUCCAUAGCCCAGGCUGACCUUGAACUCACUUUGUAGCCCAGGCUGAACUCGAAUCCUUAGCACUCCUCCUGUCUUAGCCUUCACGUGCAGCAGAAACUGGUUUUGAAUGGAAAUGGUCAUUUCUUUUACAGGAUAAAUAUUUCACAGUUUUUUUCAUGUUUGUAAGCCCCAAACACGUGCAUUAUAAAAAUGAUAAAAGCUCUAAUCAGACUUUUUAUUAUUUGGUAGCAACAAAAAAGAAAACACACAUAGAAAAUGCUAAAAGACUAAAGCAACUGAUUUCAUGAUCUAACCUAGUCGCUGAUGAAAGGAAAGGAUUUGGAACUAAAAGCAAAUAUACUAAGUUCUGGGGUCCCCGCCACCACCACCACCACCACCACCCCCACCUAGGAAAAAGAGCCCUUCUGCUGUUCCAGGUGUUCUGCUAACAUAUCUGCUUACAGAAACGAAAUCAAUCGUCACAUUUUUAGUGAUUAAUUAGAAUCGAAUGUAUAGAGAACACGCAAUAAUAACCCUCUGCAGUGCUGUGCGAGGUGACUGCGGGGGGAGAGGGAAGGCGAGGAAUUAGUGUUGCUAAUGAAUUUGCCGCUUCUUAGAUUCUCUCCUGAGUGUGUUUUACCUUUGCCAUAAAUGAAAACAUUUAAAUUUCUUUACAAUUGCAUUUGACUUAAUUAUCCCUCCCCCGAAACCCGCAAGCCCCCCAUUUUGCCUGCUUUUCUGUCCGAUACAAGGGACCGGGCUUCUCAGUUCAUAAAGACUUGUUUUUCCACAGGAUGUUCGCUAUGUACAGAAUGUUAAUAGCCGGCUGACUGUGAAUAGGCUCUGUGGCUCCUCUUGAAAUAUAGAAAAAUGGCCCGGACAUUAAAAAAGAUAAAAGGGAAAAGGGCAGUAAUGAAUUUAGAGGAAAAUGAACAUUAAUGGUACUAGCAUUACUCAUGUUCCACAUAACAAAUUAUUGGAAAUCUGUCAAGCACACCAAAUUAUCUACUUGUCGGCUGCUCAGGGCUCUCUGCAGCCAUCCAAAACCAGCAAAAGCAAGACAAUUUAAGCUAAUUUUACUAUUUAUAACAAUAGAACAGGCCAUUAAGAUAAAUUAAUGUCAUUAUCAAGUUUCUAUGAAAAUGACAAAUACCACUAUUUCGAGCAGCUUAGAGGCUGUUGACUAUAAUGAAAUCCGCUGUGCAGGUACUAAAGAGAAACACUCCAAGUAAUUAUUUUCUAGUAGCCUGUUUGUUUCGUGGCCAUUCAUUUGCUUUCACCACAAUUAGUUCUGUACACAAUAUGUUGGUAACUAAACAGUCAACACUACGCAGCAUUAGCACUAAUUGGGCCAUUAGGGCGCAGUUUCUAGCCUUUCCCUUCCUAAGAGACUCGGGAGUAAACAGAAUGGGGCCCCAGUGGCAGCACCAUGCCGGCACGGAUUGUCUUCGUUUAGAUCCGAGUGGGGUAAUAAAGUACACCAUGGCAAAGCUGUGCCCGCAGAACCCUGGCAUCAGCCUAUGAUCCCAAACCAGGCCAUGCCGGAGUGGGUCUGCUGGUUCUUCCAAACCGCCACUCUGGUGGCACCAGCGGUGACAGUGUAAGGCUGGGGCUCUGCCUUCCUCCAGCCCAGGAGUCUGUGGUUGGUUUGGACGCAACCAUUCUUCCACUGCCUUGACUCAGAUUCCUCAGCCACUCAAAGUCUUGUCAGGAAAGGCCCCAUCUCCCCGAGGGGGCUGUGCCGUGAUGGCCCCAAGUCAUCCAUCGACUUAGAACCAAAUGACUCAGAGACUCCAGAGGAAGUGGGCUUGGCUCGAGUCAGACCUGCAUGGGAAAGAGCCUGACAUGCGGUCAGCUACGAAACAGGGUCGGUCUUGGGACUUGUUACCUAAAAUAAGUUGUAGAAUUCCCAGAGGCAGCUGCUCGCCAGAGAGGUGUGACUGCUCAGCUGAUAAAGGGCUGAGCCCCAUCCGGCCUCUCACUAUGGUCAGCACAGACUGCUCAGAAUGGCCCGCUGGCCAGGCUCGCCCAUCCUUCCCCACUUCAGCCAAGGUGAGGGGGUGGAUGUUGGCCCUGUGGAUUCUUGGGAGAUCUGUAACAUAGGCAUGCAUAUUAGAUCUGCAGACUUUAGAGCAAACAGUUCAUAAGACCAGCAUUACCAAGAGGGGCCAAAUAAAGGAAAAAAAUAAAAGAGGACCUAGAGGAGAAGAGGUGUGGCAGCGGGAAGACGGCCUCACGCCUGAACUCAGAGUCUGCUCACUUCGUGACCGGAGGUCUUCCUGGGCAUCCACAGUACACACUCAGCACCAGGGACCUUGGAGACCAGUGCUUCCAUUUGAUGGCUAAGGAGCAGACAGCCAAAGGCCAGUCUCCAACGCCUGGACUCCUUAGGAUCUUGCACCGGACGUAUGUGCGUGCAGACAGUCUUAGCUCUCUCCUCGGGGCUAUCUCCUGCCUUCUUGUGUUAGACACCUGCAGAGCAGGGUCAGGCAUAGACCCUUUUCCCUGCUGGGACUAAAAAUGAGGGCUCCUGUGUAAGAGCCAUGCCUCCUGCCUCAUAGAGCUUCAGAGUCCCUCGAAGACAGAAGUGGCCCUCAGUGGCCCAUCAAAUCCACCUCGCAGGUUCCGUGGUGUCUUCCUGCCUCUGUAUCUCCAAUCCCACCCCCACUCCAAAGGGCCAGCUGUUAACCCCUAGUCACAGGCAUAAGCCCCUCAAGGAAAGGCAAGCAGGAUGCCUACCAUCCUUCUUAACUUUCCAAACCCUAGGAUGCAGGCAGCAUUCAAUAAACACAUGCUCUGCACAGAGCUGGAUGUGGGCUUUUUGGGGACAGUGACCUGGGAGGGAGUAAGUGGCAGGUGGUCACCAGUCAGGUAGGAGGGGCCACUGGGCCUCCUGAGAAUGCAGCCACCCUUGCUGUUAACAGCUCGGGUAGAGCUAUUUGUGAAGGGACCUCUCUCUGGUUCUGAGGUCUGUCACUGUGCUACUCACAGAGCCAGAGACCUCCAGGUCCAUUUGUCCCUGUUACAUGUGGGGGUGCUCAGAGACUUGGGGUGCAGGGCCUGCCAGCCUGUAUCCCAAGGGCCUCCUGGGCUGACUUCCAGUCUUCUGGCCAUGUGCCCACCGGGAUGGGAAUAUCUAAUUAGUAAAAUUACUACUAAUGGUUUUUAAAGGCAUGGUUUCUGGACAAAAUAUGUGGUAUGGUAAUUAUAUCCACAUUCAAAUGAUGAUGAUCAUCACGAUAAACCUUAACCCCAAAGAGUUCAAAGCACUCUGAAUAAUUAGAUUAAUUAUGCUCAGAGUUUCCCCAAGGGAUGGGCACUUCUGUAUGUCUACUUCCUGGUGAGGAAGCUGAAUGAUCCAAAGGCAGAAGUCUAGGGGACACUUUCUGUCCCCUUGGUUACGCCACGCUAUAGGCACUGGGUUAGGCACCAUGGUCCUCAUAAGUUUUCCCCCUGCCCUGUGAGGCAGGGUUCCUUAAUGAGGAAACUAAAGGUCGCAUGGUCACUAAUUGCAUCCUGGACUGCAGUGUGCCUGGUAGACGUGGCAGGUAAGACUGGAGUCAUUGGCCCUACCACUUUCUGCCCUUUGACACUUGGUCCAGCCUUGUAAACCCACUGAGCCUCAUCUUGCUCAUCUAUGAAAUGGGGUUGAGUGUUGCCCCAUCUGACCACUGCAAAUGCUAGGCAAAUUUAUUUCCAUCCAAGAGCCAGCACGGAGCCUCUCUGACCUGUUCUGGUUGAUUUCAGAGCUUCCAGUGCAGCGCUCGCCGAUUACCGGCGGUAACAACCUCAUUCUGCAAAAAUCACACUGGCUUUUACCGGUCUUUACAGGAAAAAAAUAGGUUAAUGCACUGCUUCCCCAUGCAUGUCAGUAGCCCAAUCUCUCUCUAAUGGCCUCAAAUUGCAGUUUUAAAACCCAAACCAUGAACUUAAACUCUCCCACAGACAUGCACAGGAGAAGCAUUCUCUGUUCUUCUGCACCCAGCGAAGUCCUGAGAGAAACAAGUCCUGCCUUCCUGUGAACAGCAGACUGAAAAGCAGGGGUGCUGGGGUGACUGUGACCCCAACCUGAGUUUGUCCUGCCUGAAGAUACCAGAUCCUCUGUGCCACUCAGGGUGGUGGUGUUGCCUUCAGUGCGUGGUUCCUCACGGAGAACUCCUGCUAAGCUAACAUCUUCUGCCUGCUCAGUCGUAGGCAGUGGAGACCCACAGUGGUCUACAAGGUAGACACAGUAGCAAGUUCUACAACUGAGGAAGCAGACUCUGAUGUGGCCAGUUACUUGCCCACAGCCACGUGACUGCUAAGUAGCAGGGACUGGACAGUAGCCAGGGCAUUCUGACUUCAGAAAUCGCAUUCCAUGUCUCUCUGCUGUCCUCAGGCUCGAUCCUAGCUGGAUUCUGGUCUUCCUCUCAUCUGGACUGACCUACUUGGUUGGGAUACAAGAUCUACCCUGUCAAAGAACUGGUGCUUUGGCUACACAAGGCAGGAAUGGUACUUGUCAUCUAACCCAUUUAUUGUGGAGAUUACACUCUCACUUGUUCUCUGUGAACCAUAAUAAAACUUCCCUCUUCAUAAA
RNA transcript from Cavia porcellus (domestic guinea pig), 15366 nucleotides. It is a transcript of the gene named ligand of numb-protein X 2, with no coding region annotated. Lineage: Eukaryota; Metazoa; Chordata; Mammalia; Rodentia; Caviidae. The transcript is spliced from 14 exons. The record is from RefSeq and is a predicted model, not a curated record.